GAAUUGACGGGGGCCCGGCACAAGCGGAGGAACAUGUGGUUUAAUUCGAUGAUACGCGAGGAACCUUACCUGGGCUUAAAUGUAGAACGACAGCUUGUGAAAGCAGGUUUUCUUCGGACGUUUUACAAGGUGCUGCAUGGUUGUCGUCAGCUCGUGCCGUGAGGUGUCGGGUUAAGUCCCAUAACGAGCGCAACCCUUAUCGUUAGUUGCCAGCGGGUCAAGCCGGGGACUCUAGCGAGACUGCCACCGUAAGGUGAGAGGAAGGUGGGGAUGACGUCAAAUCAGCACGGCCCUUAUGUCCAGGGCUACACACGUGUUACAAUGGCCAGUACAAAGGGCAGCUACCAGGCGACUGGAUGCUAAUCUCUAAAGCUGGUCUCAGUUCGGAUCGAAGUCUGCAACCCGACUUCGUGAAGCUGGAUUCGCUAGUAAUCGCGCAUCAGCCAUGGCGCGGUGAAUACGUUCCCG
Molecule: ribosomal RNA, 468 nt
Filed under: uncultured Bacteroidota bacterium
Lineage: Bacteria; Pseudomonadati; Bacteroidota
Description: bacterial SSU rRNA
Rfam family: Bacterial small subunit ribosomal RNA
Source: RNAcentral